GUUAAACGCUGGCGGCAUGCCUUACACAUGCAAGUCGAACGGCAGCACGGGGGCAACCCUGGUGGCGAGUGGCGGACGGGUGAGUAACACAUCGGAACGUGCCCUGGAGUGGGGGAUAACGCAGCGAAAGCUACGCUAAUACCGCAUAUUCUGUGAGCAGGAAAGCAGGGGAUCGCAAGACCUUGCGCUUUGGGAGCGGCCGAUGUCGGAUUAGCUAGUUGGUGGGGUAAAGGCUUACCAAGGCGACGAUCCGUAGCGGGUCUGAGAGGAUGAUCCGCCACACUGGGACUGAGACACGGCCCAGACUCCUACGGGAGGCAGCAGUGGGAAUUUUGGACAAUGGGCGGAAGCCUGAUCCAGCCAUGCCGCGUGAGUGAAGAA
RNAcentral lists this ribosomal RNA (381 nucleotides) under uncultured bacterium. Its description in RNAcentral is "bacterial SSU rRNA". It matches the Rfam family "Bacterial small subunit ribosomal RNA", at positions 28 to 412 of the family's 1533-position model. The record is from RNAcentral.